Molecule: ribosomal RNA, 195 nt
Filed under: Xylaria sp. SL08747
Lineage: Eukaryota; Fungi; Ascomycota; Sordariomycetes; Xylariales; Xylariaceae
Description: 5.8S ribosomal RNA
Rfam family: 5.8S ribosomal RNA (bases 1-134)
About the family: 5.8S ribosomal RNA (5.8S rRNA) is a component of the large subunit of the eukaryotic ribosome. It is transcribed by RNA polymerase I as part of the 45S precursor that also contains 18S and 28S rRNA.
Source: RNAcentral
UUGGUUCUGGCAUCGAUGAAGAACGCAGCGAAAUGCGAUAAGUAAUGUGAAUUGCAGAAUUCAGUGAAUCAUCGAAUCUUUGAACGCACAUUGCGCCCAUUAGUAUUCUAGUGGGCAUGCCUGUUCGAGCGUCAUUUCAACCCUUAAGCCCUGUUGCUUAGUGUUGGGAGCCUACGGUCAAGCGUAGCUCCCUAA